This 265-nucleotide ribosomal RNA is filed under the name uncultured prokaryote. Its description in RNAcentral is "partial 16S ribosomal RNA". It matches the Rfam family "Bacterial small subunit ribosomal RNA", at positions 524 to 788 of the family's 1533-position model. The record is from RNAcentral.
UACGUAGGGGCUAGCGUUAUCCGGAAUUACUGGGCGUAAAGGGUGCGUAGGUGGUUUGUCACGUCGUCUGUGAAAUUCCGGGGCUUAACCUCGGGCGUGCAGGCGAUACGGGCAAUACUUGAGUGCUGUAGGGGAGACUGGAAUUCCUGGUGUAGCGGUGAAAUGCGCAGAUAUCAGGAGGAACACCAAUGGCGAAGGCAGGUCUCUGGGCAGUUACUGACGCUGAGGAGCGAAAGCAUGGGUAGCGAACAGGAUUAGAUACCCU